ACACACUGCUGCUGACUGAAUUUUGGAAGGUGCUGAAGGUCUUGAUAUUGUUCUUGUUGAGGACACUUGCAGCCAUCAACUCUGCAAUUCAUCACUGGGCUUCUUCAGUACUGUAACCAGGAUGUCCAUUAUUUCUACAAAGUCCACAAUACCAUCUGCAAAGUUAAGGUUAUUAAAUUCACUGACAAAGGCACACAAGUAAAUGGAUCCCACUUUGCUACUCCAUAGCCAGUCCAUGCUAGCACUGAACAGAUUAGGGGCCAGAACACAUCCGCGAUGUGUCGCACAAUACAUUGGAAAUAAAUCAAACAUUCUCUCCAUUCCACACAGCAUUCACAGUACUUGUGUGUAAGAUUUGCCAUGAUGCACAGCAAGGGUUUCCACAAAGUCUCAGGUUGUAUCACAGAGCAAUCGUGUUAAAUACUUUACAAAAAAUAAAGGCUGCAAAGAAAUCCUGUCAAUACUGACGCCUGUUUUCAGUGAAAACCCAAAGAGAGAGAACAGUGUAACAAAUGCAAAACAUUAUUCAAAGAAGAGGGGUAGAGCAUUAAACUGUCAAGU
Thalassophryne amazonica is the source of this 561-nucleotide long non-coding RNA. RefSeq lists it as uncharacterized. The transcript is spliced from 3 exons. NCBI's taxonomy places the organism in Eukaryota, Metazoa, Chordata, Actinopteri, Batrachoidiformes, Batrachoididae. The record is from RefSeq and is a predicted model, not a curated record.